UAUCAAAAUAUGUAUCUGUGGAAAACAUAUUUUCCUCAAAUAAAAAUAACGUUUACAUAAUUAGUUUAGAAAUAAUAGCUCUUUUGAAAACCUAACUGAACAUGAUUGUUGUUGACAAUCGGUCAGAUACCAAAAUAUCAAUAAUUCAAACUUAAGAAUAUUAUUGAAUAAAAACAGAUUUUGGAGUUCUUCAGUAAGAUUCAUUUCCUCUGAUGUUAUCGAAACAUUCUGGUCAUGAAGGUGUUUGGCAGGAGGAUUGUUUCUCUCUAUUUCAUUUAUUCUAUUCAAAGUUGUCAGUCGAUUUUCAGGAUACCCUCCAUUUGUGCUCGGGUUGAAAAAAAUUUCCUAAAAUAUUACAUUUUCAUUUUACAUCUAAACACAAAAGUCAUCAAUCAUGAACUCACGUAAUCCCCUGUAGAACUUUCCGAAUUUGUGUACCUACACUGGGAAAAUUUCAACUAAUUUUUUUGCGCACUCCAUUUUUGCGCUCUUGGGUACUGCACUCCCAUAUUUUUCGUAAAGCACAUUUGCAGUUAUGUCAACUAACUGUAUUCUGCUUCUGUCAGUCAACAGUUUAUUCUUCUGGUACUGGUCUAUUAUGUACUUGCCCGCCGCCACUAAUAAUUUGUGUUUGUAGAUCUUGCAGAUUUGAUUACUUCUGGAGCCAAAAUUAAUUUUCAUGCACUUCAUUGUUCAAAUUUCCACUAGAGGAACAAU
Molecule: long non-coding RNA, 717 nt
Organism: Leptinotarsa decemlineata (Colorado potato beetle)
Lineage: Eukaryota; Metazoa; Arthropoda; Insecta; Coleoptera; Chrysomelidae
Source: RefSeq, a predicted model, not a curated record